GACGAACGCUGGCGGCGUGCUUAACACAUGCAAGUCGAACGGUAAGGCCCUUCGGGGUACACGAGUGGCGAACGGGUGAGUAACACGUGGGUGAUCUGCCCUGCACUUCGGGAUAAGCCUGGGAAACUGGGUCUAAUACCGGAUAGGACCACUGCCUGCAUGGGUGGUGGUGGAAAGCUUUUGCGGUGUGGGAUGGGCCCGCGGCCUAUCAGCUUGUUGGUGGGGGGAUGGCCUACCAAGGCGACGACGGGUAGCCGGCCGGAGAGGGUGACCGGCCACACUGGGACUGAGAUACGGCCCAGACUCCUACGGGAGGCAGCAGUGGGGAAUAUUGCACAAUGGGCGCAAGCCUGAUGCAGCGACGCCGCGUGAGGGAUGACGGCCUUCGGGUUGUAAACCUCUUUCAGCACCGACGAAGCGCAAGUGACGGUAGGUGCAGAAGAAGGACCGGCCAACUACGUGCCAGCCGCCGCAGUAA
RNAcentral lists this ribosomal RNA (478 nucleotides) under uncultured bacterium. Its description in RNAcentral is "partial 16S ribosomal RNA". It matches the Rfam family "Bacterial small subunit ribosomal RNA", at positions 28 to 523 of the family's 1533-position model. The record is from RNAcentral.